AUUGCCCUAGUAACGGCGAGUGAAGCGGCAACAGCUCAAAUUUGAAAUCUGGCUUCGGCCCGAGUUGUAAUUUGCAGAGGAAGCUUUAGGCGCGGCACCAUCUGAGUCCCCUGGAACGGGGCGCCAUAGAGGGUGAGAGCCCCGUAUAGUUGGACGCCUAGCCUGUGUAAAGCUCCUUCGACGAGUCGAGUAGUUUGGGAAUGCUGCUCAAAAUGGGAGGUAAAUUUCUUCUAAAGCUAAAUACCGGCCAGAGACCGAUAGCGCACAAGUAGAGUGAUCGAAAGAUGAAAAGCACUUUGAAAAGAGGGUUAAAUAGCACGUGAAAUUGUUGAAAGGGAAGCGCUUGUGACCAGACUUGCGCCGGGCGGAUCAUCCGGUGUUCUCACCGGUGCACUCCGCCCGGCUCAGGCCAGCAUCGGUUCUCGCGGGGGGAUAAAGGCCCUGGGAACGUAGCUCCUCCGGGAGUGUUAUAGCCCAGGGCGUAAUGCCCUCGCGGGGACCGAGGACCGCGCAUCUGCAAGGAUGCUGGCGUAAUGGUCAUCAGCGACCCGUCUUGAAACACGGACCAAGGAGUCAAGGUUUUGCGCGAGUGUUUGGGUGUAAAACCCGCACGCGUAAUGAAAGUGAACGUAGGUGAGAGCUUCGGCGCAUCAUCGACCGAUCCUGAUGUUUUCGGAUGGAUUUGAGUAGGAGCGUUAAGCCUUGGACCCGAAAGAUGGUGAACUAUGCUUGGAUAGGGUGAAGCCAGAGGAAACUCUGGUGGAGGCUCGCAGCGGUUCUGACGUGCAAAUCGAUCGUCAAAUCUGAGCAUGGGGCGAAAGACUAAUCGA
RNAcentral lists this ribosomal RNA (830 nucleotides) under Chaetomium nepalense. RNAcentral describes it as "LSU rRNA". It matches the Rfam family "Eukaryotic large subunit ribosomal RNA", at positions 74 to 938 of the family's 3401-position model. Lineage: Eukaryota; Fungi; Ascomycota; Sordariomycetes; Sordariales; Chaetomiaceae. The record is from RNAcentral.